CAUCCUCGCGGACAGCGCGGCUGUGCGGGCGGAGAGCUGUCGAUCCCAGUGAUUAAUGCCAAAUCCCUGUUGCCAGUGGAGAGGGUGAUGUUUGACUUUCUUAAACAGCUGCAGUUUGUGUGGUGAAGGUGCUCCCACAAUGUGGUUGGAUCCCAGUGAUUAAUGCCAAAGCCCCAUUGCCUGGGGAGAGGGUGAUGUUUGACUUCCUGUACAGCUGCAGUUUGUGUGGUGAAGGUGCUCCCACAAUGUGG
This is a long non-coding RNA of Hemiscyllium ocellatum (epaulette shark), 251 nucleotides long. RefSeq lists it as uncharacterized. Lineage: Eukaryota; Metazoa; Chordata; Chondrichthyes; Orectolobiformes; Hemiscylliidae. The transcript has 3 exons. The record is from RefSeq and is a predicted model, not a curated record.